AACAGAACCAAAACAACCAGUGGAACCCAAAAAACCUGUUGAGUCAAAAAAAUCUGGCAAGUCUGCAAAAUCAAAAGAAAAACAAGAAAAAAUUACAGACACAUUUAAAGUAAAAAGAAAAGUAGACCGUUUUAAUGGUGUUUCAGAAGCUGAACUUCUGACCAAGACUCUCCCUGAUAUUUUGACCUUCAAUCUGGACAUUGUCAUUAUUGGCAUAAACCCGGGACUGAUGGCUGCUUACAAAGGGCAUCAUUACCCUGGACCUGGAAACCAUUUUUGGAAGUGUUUGUUUAUGUCAGGGCUCAGUGAGGUCCAGCUGAACCAUAUGGAUGAUCACACUCUACCAGGGAAGUAUGGUAUUGGAUUUACCAACAUGGUGGAAAGGACCACGCCCAGCAGCAAAGAUCUCUCCAGGUAAAUACACAGCAUUUGUUUUUAUGGGUUGGAACCUUGAGUAUGCUGGUGCCCCAAAUAUUCUAGGAACAUCGUAUGUAUCUAGUUCAAGCUGAGCUUAACAAAUGUACGAUAUGCUCUUUCAUUGAAAGCUGUCUGAAUUUAGCAUAUUAUAAAUAUUGCCAUAUUUAUAUUUUUGACUACUUUUUAAUUCAAUUUUAGUAAAGAAUUUCGUGAAGGAGGACGUAUUCUAGUACAGAAAUUACAGAAAUAUCAGCCACGAAUAGCAGUGUUUAAUGGAAAAUGUAAGAUUUACUUUAAAAUUUUUUUUUUCUUUGCUAACAUUAUGGGCAAUGUAAAUAUGUUUGUAUUUCAUUUUAGGUAUUUAUGAAAUUUUUAGUAAAGAAGUUUUUGGAGUAAAGGUUAAGAACUUGGAAUUUGGGCUUCAGCCCCAUAAGAUUCCAGACACAGAAACUCUCUGCUAUGUUAUGCCAUCAUCCAGUGCAAGAUGUGCUCAGUUUCCUCGAGCCCAAGACAAAGUUCAUUACUACAUAAAACUGAAGGACUUAAGAGAUCAGUUGAAAGGCAUUGAACGGAAUAUGGAUGUUCAAGAGGUGCAAUAUACAUUUGACCUACAGCUUGCCCAAGAGGAUGCAAAGAAGAUGGCUGUUAAGGAAGAAAAAUAUGAUCCGGGUUAUGAGGCAGCAUAUGGUGGUGCUUACGGAGAAAAUCCAUGCAACAGGGAACCUUGCGACUUCUCUUCAAAUGGGCUAAUUGACAGUGCGGAGUUAAGAGGAGAAUCAGCUUUCAGUGGCAUUCCUAAUGGGCAGUGGAUGACCCAGUCAUUUACAGACCAAAUUCCUUCCUUUAAUAAUCACUGUGGA
RNAcentral lists this small RNA (1277 nucleotides) under Pongo abelii (Sumatran orangutan). Its description in RNAcentral is "retained intron". The record is from RNAcentral. Lineage: Eukaryota; Metazoa; Chordata; Mammalia; Primates; Hominidae.